Molecule: ribosomal RNA, 180 nt
Filed under: uncultured bacterium
Lineage: Bacteria
Description: partial 16S ribosomal RNA
Rfam family: Bacterial small subunit ribosomal RNA
Source: RNAcentral
CCUACGGGAGGCAGCAGUGAGGAAUAUUGGUCAAUGGGCGAGAGCCUGAACCAGCCAAGUAGCGUGCAGGAUGACGGCCCUAUGGGUUGUAAACUGCUUUUAUAAGGGAAUAAAGUGAGCCUCGUGAGGCUUUUUGCAUGUACCUUAUGAAUAAGGACCGGCUAAUUCCGUGCCAGCAGC